UACGUAGGGUGCAAGCGUUAAUCGGAAUUACUGGGCGUAAAGCGUGCGCAGGCGGUGAUGUAAGACAGAUGUGAAAUCCCCGGGCUCAACCUGGGAACUGCAUUUGUGACUGCAACGCUGGAGUGCGGCAGAGGGGGAUGGAAUUCCGCGUGUAGCAGUGAAAUGCGUAGAUAUGCGGAGGAACACCGAUGGCGAAGGCAAUCCCCUGGGCCUGCACUGACGCUCAUGCACGAAAGCGUGGGGAGCAAACAGG
RNAcentral lists this ribosomal RNA (253 nucleotides) under uncultured bacterium. RNAcentral describes it as "partial 16S ribosomal RNA". It matches the Rfam family "Bacterial small subunit ribosomal RNA", at positions 524 to 776 of the family's 1533-position model. The record is from RNAcentral.